CCGUAAACGUUGGGAACUAGAUGUGGGGACCUUUCCACGGUCUCCGUGUCGCAGCUAACGCAUUAAGUUCCCCGCCUGGGGAGUACGGCCGCAAGGCUAAAACUCAAAGGAAUUGACGGGGGCCCGCACAAGCGGCGGAGCAUGCGGAUUAAUUCGAUGCAACGCGAAGAACCUUACCAAGGCUUGACAUAUACCGGAAACUUCCAGAAAUGGUUGCCCCGCAAGGUCGGUAUACAGGUGGUGCAUGGUUGUCGUCAGCUCGUGUCGUGAGAUGUUGGGUUAAGUCCCGCAACGAGCGCAACCCUCGUUCUAUGUUGCCAGCACGUCAUGGUGGGAACUCAUAGGAGACUGCCGGGGUCAACUCGGAGGAAGGUGGGGAUGACGUCAAAUCAUCAUGCCCCUUAUGUCUUGGGCUUCACGCAUGCUACAAUGGCCGGUACAAAGGGCUGCGAUACCGUAAGGUGGAGCGAAUCCCAAAAAGCCGGUCUCAGUUCGGAUUGAGGUCUGCAACUCGACCUCAUGAAGUCGGAGUCGCUAGUAAUCGCAGAUCAGCAACGCUGCGGUGAAUACGUUCCCGGGCCUUGUACACACCGCCCGUCAAGUCAUGAAAGUCGGUAACACCCGAAGCCAGUGGCCUAACCGCAAGGAGGGAGCUGUCGAAGGUGGGAUCGGUGAUUAGGACUAAGU
Molecule: ribosomal RNA, 687 nt
Filed under: Lysinimonas sp.
Lineage: Bacteria; Bacillati; Actinomycetota; Actinomycetes; Micrococcales; Microbacteriaceae
Description: bacterial SSU rRNA
Rfam family: Bacterial small subunit ribosomal RNA
Source: RNAcentral